RNAcentral lists this ribosomal RNA (1372 nucleotides) under uncultured bacterium. Its description in RNAcentral is "bacterial SSU rRNA". It matches the Rfam family "Bacterial small subunit ribosomal RNA", at positions 28 to 1381 of the family's 1533-position model. The record is from RNAcentral.
GAUGAACGCUGGCGGCGUGCCUAAUACAUGCAAGUCGAGCGAACAGACAAGGAGCUUGCUCCUUUGACGUUAGCGGCAGACGGGUGAGUAACACGUGGGUAACCUACCUAUAAGACUGGGAUAACUUCGGGAAACCGGAGCUAAUACCGGAUAAUAUUUCGAACCGCAUGGUUCGAUAGUGAAAGAUGGUUUUGCUAUCACUUAUAGAUGGACCCGCGCCGUAUUAGCUAGUUGGUAAGGUAACGGCUUACCAAGGCGACGAUACGUAGCCGACCUGAGAGGGUGAUCGGCCACACUGGAACUGAGACACGGUCCAGACUCCUACGGGAGGCAGCAGUAGGGAAUCUUCCGCAAUGGGCGAAAGCCUGACGGAGCAACGCCGCGUGAGUGAUGAAGGUCUUCGGAUCGUAAAACUCUGUUAUUAGGGAAGAACAUACGUGUAAGUAACUAUGCACGUCUUGACGGUACCUAAUCAGAAAGCCACGGCUAACUACGUGCCAGCAGCCGCGGUAAUACGUAGGUGGCAAGCGUUAUCCGGAAUUAUUGGGCGUAAAGCGCGCGUAGGCGGUUUUUUAAGUCUGAUGUGAAAGCCCACGGCUCAACCGUGGAGGGUCAUUGGAAACUGUAAAACUUGAGUGCAGAAGAGGAAAGUGGAAUUCCAUGUGUAGCGGUGAAAUGCGCAGAGAUAUGGAGGAACACCAGUGGCGAAGGCGACUUUCUGGUCUGUAACUGACGCUGAUGUGCGAAAGCGUGGGGAUCAAACAGGAUUAGAUACCCUGGUAGUCCACGCCGUAAACGAUGAGUGCUAAGUGUUAGGGGGUUUCCGCCCCUUAGUGCUGCAGCUAACGCAUUAAGCACUCCGCCUGGGGAGUACGACCGCAAGGUUGAAACUCAAAGGAAUUGACGGGGACCCGCACAAGCGGUGGAGCAUGUGGUUUAAUUCGAAGCAACGCGAAGAACCUUACCAAAUCUUGACAUCCUUUGACAACUCUAGAGAUAGAGCCUUCCCCUUCGGGGGACAAAGUGACAGGUGGUGCAUGGUUGUCGUCAGCUCGUGUCGUGAGAUGUUGGGUUAAGUCCCGCAACGAGCGCAACCCUUAAGCUUAGUUGCCAUCAUUAAGUUGGGCACUCUAAGUUGACUGCCGGUGACAAACCGGAGGAAGGUGGGGAUGACGUCAAAUCAUCAUGCCCCUUAUGAUUUGGGCUACACACGUGCUACAAUGGACAAUACAAAGGGCAGCGAAACCGCGAGGUCAAGCAAAUCCCAUAAAGUUGUUCUCAGUUCGGAUUGUAGUCUGCAACUCGACUACAUGAAGCUGGAAUCGCUAGUAAUCGUAGAUCAGCAUGCUACGGUGAAUACGUUCCCGGGUCU